Molecule: ribosomal RNA, 253 nt
Filed under: uncultured bacterium
Lineage: Bacteria
Description: partial 16S ribosomal RNA
Rfam family: Bacterial small subunit ribosomal RNA
Source: RNAcentral
GACAGAGGUGGCAAGCGUUGCUCGGAUUCACUGGGCUUAAAGGGCGCGUAGGCGGCUUUGUAAGACUAAGGUGGAAUUCCACAGCUCAACUGUGGAACUGGCUUGGAAACUGCAAAGCUUGAGUCAGGUAGAGGAGGGCGGAAUUCCCGGUGUAGCGGUGAAAUGCGUAGAUAUCGGGAGGAAGGCCGGUGGCGAAGGCGGUCCUCUGGGCCUGUAUUGACGCUGAGGCGCGAAAGCGUGGGGAGCAAACAGG